This 253-nucleotide ribosomal RNA is filed under the name uncultured bacterium. Its description in RNAcentral is "partial 16S ribosomal RNA". It matches the Rfam family "Bacterial small subunit ribosomal RNA", at positions 524 to 776 of the family's 1533-position model. The record is from RNAcentral.
UACAGAGGGUGCAAGCGUUGUUCGGAAUCAUUGGGCGUAAAGCGCACGUAGGCGGUCUGCUAAGUCGGGUGUGAAAGCCCCAGGCUCAACCUGGGAAGUGCACUCGAAACUGGCGGACUUGAAUGUCGGAGAGGGUGGUGGAAUUCCGAGUGUAGAGGUGAAAUUCGUAGAUAUUCGGAGGAACACCAGUGGCGAAGGCGACCACCUGGACGAACAUUGACGCUGAGGUGCGAAAGCGUGGGGAGCAAACAGG